Molecule: ribosomal RNA, 253 nt
Filed under: uncultured bacterium
Lineage: Bacteria
Description: partial 16S ribosomal RNA
Rfam family: Bacterial small subunit ribosomal RNA
Source: RNAcentral
UACGUAGGGGGCAAGCGUUGUUCGGAAUUACUGGGCGUAAAGGGCGCGUAGGCGGCACGGCAAGUCAGGAGUGAAAGCCCGGGGCUCAACCCCGGAAUGUCUUUUGAAACUGCCGAGCUAGAGUACGGAAGAGGCAACUGGAAUUCCCAGUGUAGCGGUGAAAUGCGUAGAUAUUGGGAAGAACACCGGAGGCGAAGGCGGGUUGCUGGGCCGAUACUGACGCUGAGGCGCGAAAGCCAGGGGAGCAAACGGG